AUCCCAUGAUAUGGACAUCUUCUCAGUAGUUUUUUAAACCUCUCCCAAACUUCAUAUAAGGAUUCACCUUCAAAUUGUGUGAAUGAAGUUAUAUCGUUCCUCAUCUU
Molecule: small nucleolar RNA, 107 nt
Organism: Theobroma cacao (cacao)
Lineage: Eukaryota; Viridiplantae; Streptophyta; Magnoliopsida; Malvales; Malvaceae
Rfam family: Plant small nucleolar RNA R71
About the family: R71 is a member of the C/D box family of snoRNAs containing the C (UGAUGA) and D (CUGA) box motifs.
Source: Rfam